ACCACCUGCCACCGAUCCUCAAUUUGCCUCGCAUCAACGUUUUCAACUACGUCACUUAACGAUGCCUCGUCUCAGCUCACUUCCUUGCCUCGCGCUGGCUCUCAUCACAGCGUUCCUCGCUGUUGAUACGGAGGGGCGCGCUUUCUUCGGCACAGGCUCCUUCUUCCAGGACGCGCAGCUGAACAACGGCACGACGACCGGCCUCGGGCUGUUCGGCUCCUUCCUGGAGGCGCUGGCCUCGCUGCACCAGACACACGACCUCUCCUCCUG
Molecule: long non-coding RNA, 270 nt
Organism: Cydia fagiglandana
Lineage: Eukaryota; Metazoa; Arthropoda; Insecta; Lepidoptera; Tortricidae
Exons: 3
Source: RefSeq, a predicted model, not a curated record